GUGGGGAAUAUUGCGCAAUGGGCGGAAGCCUGACGCAGCGACGCCGCGUGGGGGAUGACGGCCUUCGGGUUGUAAACCUCUUUCGCCAGGGACGAAGAGCAAUUGACGGUACCUGGAGAAGAAGCACCGGCCAACUACGUGCCAGCAGCCGCGGUAACACGUAGGGUGCGAGCGUUGUCCGGAAUUAUUGGGCGUAAAGAGCUCGUAGGCGGUGUGUCGCGUCGGCCGUGAAAACUUGGGGCUUAACUCUGAGCGUGCGGUCGAUACGGGCAUCACUUGAGUUCGGCAGGGGAGACUGGAAUUCCUGGUGUAGCGGUGAAAUGCGCAGAUAUCAGGAGGAACACCGGUGGCGAAGGCGGGUCUCUGGGCCGAUACUGACGCUGAGGAGCGAAAGCGUGGGGAGCGAACAGGAUUAGAAACCCCUGUAGUCC
RNAcentral lists this ribosomal RNA (431 nucleotides) under uncultured bacterium. Its description in RNAcentral is "bacterial SSU rRNA". It matches the Rfam family "Bacterial small subunit ribosomal RNA", at positions 354 to 796 of the family's 1533-position model. The record is from RNAcentral.